GUGACACACAGGGAACUGUAGAGGACGGUGGGGCAGUAGAGAGAACAGGCACAGAGAGAUCCUGGGAGAGACACACAGGGAACUGUAGAGGACGGUGGGGCAGUAGAGAGAACAGGCACAGAGAGAUCCUGGGAGAGACACACAGGGAACUGUAGAGGACGGUGGGGCAGUAGAGAGAACAGGCACAGAGAGAUCCUGAGAGUGACACACAGGGAACUGUAGAGGACGGUGGGGCAGUAGAGAGAACAGGCACAGAGAGAUCCUGAGAGUGACACACAGGGAACUGUAGAGGACGGUGGGG
This is a long non-coding RNA of Oncorhynchus tshawytscha (Chinook salmon), 301 nucleotides long. Lineage: Eukaryota; Metazoa; Chordata; Actinopteri; Salmoniformes; Salmonidae. The record is from Ensembl.